Long non-coding RNA from Sebastes umbrosus (honeycomb rockfish), 268 nucleotides. RefSeq lists it as uncharacterized. Lineage: Eukaryota; Metazoa; Chordata; Actinopteri; Perciformes; Sebastidae. The transcript is spliced from 3 exons. The record is from RefSeq and is a predicted model, not a curated record.
UACAAUUGUGAAAGAUCCCGUACAUGAAUGACCUGGCAAUCAAUAAUCCAUAAUCAUUCUUUUUAUACAUAAAAAUAGAUUCCUGAAAUCAAGACCACAUUUCUAUGUUUUCCAUCAGGAGCUGUGUCUUUACUUUUCAUCUCUGAAACAUAUGAAGAAAAAGAUGCUAUGAAGCUUUCAAUGUUAGUUGAUGACCUUAACCUUACAGAGAACCCCUAAAGCACUAUUAUCACUAUUAUCACUAUUAUCACUGUCAAACACAAAGUAC